RNAcentral lists this ribosomal RNA (429 nucleotides) under Chloroflexota bacterium. Its description in RNAcentral is "Chloroflexi bacterium partial 16S ribosomal RNA". It matches the Rfam family "Bacterial small subunit ribosomal RNA", at positions 355 to 776 of the family's 1533-position model. The record is from RNAcentral. Lineage: Bacteria; Bacillati; Chloroflexota.
UGGGGAAUAUUGCACAAUGGGCGCAAGCCUGAUGCAGCCAUGCCGCGUGUGUGAAGAAGGCCUUCGGGUUGUAAAGCACUUUCAGCGGGGAGGAAGGCGUUAAGGUUAAUAACCUUGGCGAUUGACGUUACCCGCAGAAGAAGCACCGGCUAACUCCGUGCCAGCAGCCGCGGUAAUACGGAGGGUGCAAGCGUUAAUCGGAAUUACUGGGCGUAAAGCGCACGCAGGCGGUCUGUCAAGUCGGAUGUGAAAUCCCCGGGCUCAACCUGGGAACUGCAUCUGAUACUGACAAGCUUGAGUCUCGUAGAGGGGGGUAGAAUUCCAGGUGUAGCGGUGAAAUGCGUAGAGAUCUGGAGGAAUACCGGUGGCGAAGGCGGCCCCCUGGACGAAGACUGACGCUCAGGUGCGAAAGCGUGGGGAGCAAACAGG